RNAcentral lists this long non-coding RNA (210 nucleotides) under Phoenix dactylifera (date palm). Its description in RNAcentral is "long non-coding RNA (PDAC_LNC003670)". The record is from RNAcentral. Lineage: Eukaryota; Viridiplantae; Streptophyta; Magnoliopsida; Arecales; Arecaceae.
UUUGAGUGAGCUGGCUAUUCAACCAAGCCAACAAGUUUCAAUGCUAUUCAGCUAAGUCAACUAAUUCUAGCAUGAGAAAUUGGCCGUCAAGUAAUCAAAGAACAUUGUCUUCUUCAUCUCUGUAGGGACUGAUCAUCUUCUAGCUUUAAACGUGCAUGGCACAAUCCCUACUUAUCACAACUUCUCAAGUUUUCAUCUUCUUCAAUCCUC